RNAcentral lists this unclassified non-coding RNA (329 nucleotides) under soil metagenome. Its description in RNAcentral is "partial contains 5.8S ribosomal RNA, internal transcribed spacer 2, and large subunit ribosomal RNA". The stretch from base 3 to 120 matches the Rfam family "5.8S ribosomal RNA", at positions 37 to 154 of the family's 154-position model. The record is from RNAcentral.
GCUGAAGAACGUAGCGAAAUGCGAUAAGUAGUGUGAAUUGCAGAAUUCAGUGAAUCAUCGAAUCUUUGAACGCACAUUGCGCCCCUUGGUAUCCCGAGGGGCAUGCCUGUUCGAGCGUCAUUUCACCACUCAAGCCUGGCUUGGUGUUGGGCGACGUCCCCUUUGGGGACGCGCCUCGAAACGCUCGGCGGCGUGGCACCGGCUUUAAGCGUAGCAGAAUCUUUCGCUUUGGAAGUCGGGGCCCCGUCUGCCGGAAGACCUACUCGCAAGGUUGACCUCGGAUCAGGCAGGGAUACCCGCUGAACUUAAGCAUAUCAAUAAGCGGAGGA